Molecule: unclassified non-coding RNA, 3655 nt
Filed under: Hevea brasiliensis (rubber tree)
Lineage: Eukaryota; Viridiplantae; Streptophyta; Magnoliopsida; Malpighiales; Euphorbiaceae
Source: RNAcentral
AGGUCCACAAAUGGCCCUACUCAUCACCAUCCUUCCGAUACUUGUCUUGGCUCUGAAUUUUCCAAAAGCCAAUGACUUUCUUCUCUGCCCUUUUUCAUUUUGGAGUUUGGACUCUCUCGUCUUUGGGUUGUUGAAAAGGAUGCCAAGAGAGAAAGACUUGCAUCACACGCACAGCAAAGUCUUGUUUGAAAGAAAUAAUACCACAUGGAUGUUUCCUGGCUCAUUCUUUUUUUUCUCAAAUCAACUCAACCCAUCCUCUACGUUUUCAGUGUAUUAAUAGUCCCUUCUUCCUCAUUUUAUCUUUGCCAAACAUUCAAGGUGACUCCAUUCCAUCAUCUCUUCUUUUAUCGGUGGAUCACUGAGACUAGUGAGCUUCUGGGUGAGUGUUUGUUGCAUUAAUUCUUCGUCUUGCUCCUAUUGUAUAUGGUUCUGGGUCCAUUUCUUCUUCCAAUAACGCAGUGAGAAACUUUUAUUUGUGUUCGUGGCAUGGCAUUGAGUGACAUAAAUUUCGUGGUUCUUGCCUACGCUUUGAUCUGCAUAGCCUUGGUGUUGCUGAGCAGCAGAUCAAUAACAGUGAGUAAUGCCACUAAGACUGAUAUAGAGUGCCUGAAAUCCAUAAAACAGUCCCUUCAAGACCCCAAUAACUACUUGAUCUCCUGGAAUUUCAACAACAACACCGAAGGCUUCAUAUGUAGAUUUACUGGGAUCGAUUGUUGGCACCCUGAUGAGAACAAAGUUCUAAAUAUUCGCCUUUCAGAUAUGGGCCUCAAGGGCAACUUCCCUCGUGGAAUUCAGAAAUGCACCAGCUUGACCGGCUUGGAUUUUUCCAGCAACAGGCUUUCUGGCUCCAUCCCUUCUGAUAUAUCCAAGUUAGUGCCAUAUGUUACAUCUCUUGAUAUCUCAUCCAACAAUUUUUCGGGUGAAAUUCCAAUUAAUCUUGCCAACUGCAGUUUCUUGAACAUACUUAAACUCGACAACAACCGACUAACAGGCAGUAUUCCGCUGCAACUUGGCCAGCUGCCUCGAAUGAAGACAUUUAGCGUUGCUAAUAAUCUUCUAUCAGGGCAGGUCCCUACGUUUUCCAACAAGAAUACCAUAGUUAGCUAUGCAAAUAAUCUGGGACUCUGUGGAGAACCAUUAUCGAGAUCCUGCCCCGGUGUUCCAAGAAAAUCCAGUGUCGGAAUAAUUGCUGCUGCAGCCGCUGGUGGUAUAACAUUUACAGCUAUUAUUGUGGGUAUUCUUCUCUACUACUUCUCUCGUGGAGCGGCUAAGAAGAAGGAAGAUGACCCUGAAGGUAACAAGUGGGCCAAGAGCAUAAAAGGAACUAAAGGCAUCAAGGUUUCCAUGUUCGAGGAGUCCAUUUCGAAGAUGAGGUUGAGUGAUCUCAUGAAGGCAACUAACAACUUUAGCAAAGUCAAUAUCAUUGGAGAAGGAAGAACCGGAACCAUGUACAAAGCAAUGAUUCCAGAUGGUAUUUCCCUCAUGGUUAAGAGGCUGCAAGACUCUCAACACUUGGAAAAAGAAUUUGUGUCAGAGAUGAAUACACUUGGGAGUGUCAGACACCGCAAUUUGAUUCCCCUGUUGGGUUUUUGCAUGGCUAAGAAGGAGAAACUUUUGGUCUACAAAUACAUGGAGAACGGAACACUCUAUGACAAACUGCAUCCAGUGGAACCAGAGGUCAGAAACAUGGAUUGGCCCCUAAGGCUCAAAAUUGCGAUUGGAGCAGCUAAAGGUUUAGCAUGGCUUCAUCAUAACUGCAACCCUCGAAUUAUUCACAGAAACAUAAGCUCCAAAUGCAUACUGCUGGAUGAGAAUUUUGAGCCAAAGCUGUCUGAUUUCGGCCUUGCAAGGCUGAUGAAUCCAGUUGACACCCAUUUGAGUACCUUCGUGAAUGGGGAGUUUGGGGACUUGGGCUAUGUAGCUCCCGAGUAUCCACGGACCCUGGUAGCCACCCUGAAGGGGGAUGUUUAUAGCUUUGGGGUAGUUCUUCUGGAGUUGGUCACGGGUGAAAAACCCACUCAUGUUGCCAAUGCCCCUGAAACCUUCAAGGGAAGUUUAGCAGAGUGGAUCACGCAGCUUUCAAGUAAUUCUCUCCUUCAUACUGCCAUCGAUAAGUCUUUGCUCGGGAAUGAUUUUGAUAGCGAACUCAAACAGUUUCUUAGAGUUGCUUGUAACUGUGUGGUUCCAACUGCAAAGGAGAGGCCUACCAUGUUUGAGGUGUACCAGCUUCUGAGAGCUGUUGGGGAAAGAUAUCACUUCACAACAGAGGAUGAAAUGAUGUUGCCAUCCGAAACUGGUGAUGCUGAUUCUCCUGAUGAACUUAUUGUUGCUCAAUAUGUGAAGGAGGCUCAAUGAAAGGCAGGCAGAGUAUGAUGCUAAUAUAAAACGGCAAUUGAAGAUAUUUAACUUCUUGGUGCCGCAGUGUAGCAUCUAGGAUUGUAUGUAAUAUACUCAAUAGUAUUUUAAGCUCCUAUGUUCACUUUUCUAUUGAUAGAAACACCAAUUGUAUAUAUACUACUAGACCUUUUAUGCCAAAAUCAAAAUGCUGCUGCUUCGUUCUUAACUGUGCAAUUGCCUUUUCUGCGUUCCACAUUAUUAGUCUCUUCCAUGAGAAAUUCAAGCCACAGUACCAUAUACACACUUGCACAGUAUAGUACCCUGACAAAGAAAAGAGGUAACUAAUCUUAAAUUGUUGACAGAAACCUACUUCCUGUCUCACUAGUACAAGAUCAAUGAUAGAUCUCUCUUUCAUUUUUUUUCCCCUCAAGGUACAUUAAGAGCAUGUCCACUUUGCUCAGCUAAAACACAAUCUCUAUGUGAAUCUUUGACAUAUAUAUCAGAUUCUAGAUGCAUAACACAAACGUGGAAAACUUCGACAUUGCUUCUUUCCCUUCCCCAUCUGAGGAAAAGGAAAGCAGAAAAAGAAACUGACUUAGAGAAAGGAUAAAGAACACUACUUGAGCUACUCAUUGAAAAGAAGCCACUAAGGAUCUCAAAUAUCAUAAUGGAAGAGGAUAUCCUCGGAGGUAUGCUGAAUCCACACCUGAUUCCCGCACCAAAGCUACCCUUCCAGUCCGAGCCACCUCACAAAUCCCAAAUGGCUCCAACAGUCUCUGCAGGGCAGCCAUCUUGUUUAAAUCACCUGUUAGUUCAAGGGUAAUAGUGUGAUCAGAGACAUCAACAGCUUUGGCCCGAAAUAUGCUAGCAAUAUCAAGGACAUCCCUCCUAGCAGCAGUGUUCACAGCUAUCUUUAUCAGCAUCAACUCUCGUUCUGCAAAUGGCAUGUGUGUAAUAUCGCGCACCUCAUGCAUAUCGAUCAACUUGUGAAGAUGGAGAACCAACUUGCCAAUUGACUCAUCAGUUCCAGGAAUAACAGUGGUAAUGCGGGAAAGUCCUUCUCUCUCAGCCGGACCCACAGCAAGACUCUGAGAAGUUGAAAUGUGAAAAGAAAUAACAAUGAUAAAAAUAAGUCAUAGUUAGUUGGAAAGGAGAGAUGAAAACAAAGUACACUGACCUGAAUGUUAUAACCUCUUCGUGAUAUGACACCAGUAACCAUGUUGAGAACGCCAGGAGAGUCAUUCACAAGCAUAGAUAAUGUGUGUGACCGAAGUCCACUUGAAUCAUCAUCAUAGAGAACACCCCAAUGAGCAUCAAG